Molecule: long non-coding RNA, 775 nt
Filed under: Brassica rapa (field mustard)
Lineage: Eukaryota; Viridiplantae; Streptophyta; Magnoliopsida; Brassicales; Brassicaceae
Description: long non-coding RNA (BRAP_LNC006551)
Source: RNAcentral
CCGGAUUGCGAUGAUUAACCUCUCCCUCUCCUCGACUGAGAAGAGCUCUCAUUAUCGAUCAUGGUUCACGAGAAAGUAGGUGUUUUUCAUCAAAUACAGUACAUUCCUCAGGGGUUAAUUCUAACGACUCAAUUAUUUUGGGCUCGCCAAAUUCGACUUCUGGAAAAUUAAGAGCUUCGUGGGGUUUAUGUAGCAUGGAACCGUCACUCAUGCUUUGAUUCCUGCUUCGGAAACAUUUGGAAUCGCAACGGAACCGCAAUUCUUUAAAACGAAAGAUCGGAAACGUAUAUUUUGAUAUGGAAGCGGAUUGUUUAUUAAUAGAAGGCAUGUUCUGUAUUUUCUUAAUCAAGAUCUAAAAUGUGAGCUCAACAAAAAGCAGGAAGAUGACUUUGUGGGAUUUGUCCACGUAUUUUAAUUUUUUAUAGGUUUUAAAUUUCCUUUCUCCUUUUUUUUUUGUCGAACAAAUUUUUUUUCUUUUGGUCCAAUAUUUUAGUUAUGCAUGUAAGCACAGUUUGACUUCAUCUUAUAUAUUAAAACAGAAGUCACAACCUUGAUUCAUGUGUGAUUUUUUUUUUUAAAUGGACCCUUGCUAGAAAUCAAUUAUCAUUCAUUUAUUACUAAUAAUAUGAAUUAAUAAUAUAUCAUUCCUAAUAUAACAUCGACUCCUAAAAACCUGGAUUGGUUAACAAACUCACAUUGAUUCAUGUGCGAUAUUUUUAUUUGGAUCAUCAUUUAAAUUUUUUUAUUAAAUGUAUUUCCUUAAUGCUAAUAUAUA